GCAGUCGAGGGGUAUUGGUUUUCGGACCAGAGACCGGCGCACGGGUGCGUAACGCGUAUGCAAUCUACCUUUCACAGAGGGAUAGCCCAGAGAAAUUUGGAUUAAUACCUCAUAGUAUGCAGAGUUGGCAUCAACACUGCAUUAAAGUCACAACGGUGAAAGAUGAGCAUGCGUCCCAUUAGCUAGUUGGUAAGGUAACGGCUUACCAAGGCUACGAUGGGUAGGGGUCCUGAGAGGGAGAUCCCCCACACUGGUACUGAGACACGGACCAGACUCCUACGGGAGGCAGCAGUGAGGAAUAUUGGUCAAUGGGCGCAAGCCUGAACCAGCCAUGCCGCGUGCAGGAUGACGGUCCUAUGGAUUGUAAACUGCUUUUGUACAGGAAGAAACAACAUUACGUGUAAUGUCUUGACGGUACUGUAAGAAUAAGGAUCGGCUAACUCCGUGCCAGCAGCCGCGGUAAUACGGAGGAUCCAAGCGUUAUCCGGAAUCAUUGGGUUUAAAGGGUCCGUAGGCGGCUUAGUAAGUCAGUGGUGAAAGCCCAUCGCUCAACGGUGGAACGGCCAUUGAUACUGCUAGACUUGAAUUAUUAGGAAGUAACUAGAAUAUGUAGUGUAGCGGUGAAAUGCUUAGAGAUUACAUGGAAUACCAAUUGCGAAGGCAGGUUACUACUAAUGGAUUGACGCUGAUGGACGAAAGCGUGGGUAGCGAACAGGAUUAGAUACCCUGGUAGUCCACGCCGUAAACGAUGGAUACUAGCUGUUGGGAGCGAUCUCAGUGGCUAAGCGAAAGUGAUAAGUAUCCCACCUGGGGAGUACGUUCGCAAGAAUGAAACUCAAAGGAAUUGA
Molecule: ribosomal RNA, 848 nt
Filed under: uncultured bacterium
Lineage: Bacteria
Description: bacterial SSU rRNA
Rfam family: Bacterial small subunit ribosomal RNA
Source: RNAcentral